UGCUUAACACAUGCAAGUCGAACGGUGAAAGAGAGCUUGCUCUCUGGAUCAGUGGCGAACGGGUGAGUAACACGUGAGCAAUCUGCCCCUGACUCUGGGAUAAGCGCUGGAAACGGCGUCUAAUACCGGAUACGAGCUGCGAAGGCAUCUUCAGCAGCUGGAAAGAACUUCGGUCAGGGAUGAGCUCGCGGCCUAUCAGCUAGUUGGUGAGGUAACGGCUCACCAAGGCGUCGACGGGUAGCCGGCCUGAGAGGGUGACCGGCCACACUGGGACUGAGACACGGCCCAGACUCCUACGGGAGGCAGCAGUGGGGAAUAUUGCACAAUGGGCGAAAGCCUGAUGCAGCAACGCCGCGUGAGGGACGACGGCCUUCGGGUUGUAAACCUCUUUUAGCAGGGAAGAAGCGAAAGUGACGGUACCUGCAGAAAAAGCACCGGCUAACUACGUGCCAGCAGCCGCGGUAAUACGUAGGGUGCAAGCGUUAUCCGGAAUUAUUGGGCGUAAAGAGCUCGUAGGCGGUUUGUCGCGUCUGCUGUGAAAACCCGAGGCUCAACCUCGGGCCUGCAGUGGGUACGGGCAGACUAGAGUGCGGUAGGGGAGAUUGGAAUUCCUGGUGUAGCGGUGGAAUGCGCAGAUAUCAGGAGGAACACCGAUGGCGAAGGCAGAUCUCUGGGCCGUAACUGACGCUGAGGAGCGAAAGGGUGGGGAGCAAACAGGCUUAGAUACCCUGGUAGUCCACCCCGUAAACGUUGGGAACUAGUUGUGGGG
This 769-nucleotide ribosomal RNA is filed under the name Microbacterium sp. RNAcentral's name for it is "bacterial SSU rRNA". It matches the Rfam family "Bacterial small subunit ribosomal RNA", at positions 45 to 827 of the family's 1533-position model. Lineage: Bacteria; Bacillati; Actinomycetota; Actinomycetes; Micrococcales; Microbacteriaceae. The record is from RNAcentral.